UACAGAGGUCCCAAGCGUUGUUCGGAUUCACUGGGCGUAAAGGGUGCGUAGGCGGUCGGGUAAGUCUGACGUGAAAUCUUCAAGCUUAACUUGGAAACUGCGUCGGAUACUAUUCGGCUAGAGGAAUGGAGGGGAGACUGGAAUACUUGGUGUAGCAGUGAAAUGCGUAGAUAUCAAGUGGAACACCAGUGGCGAAGGCGGCUUGCCAAUACGCGCUCGACGGUGAGGGAUGAAAGCUGGGGGAGCAAACCGG
This 253-nucleotide ribosomal RNA is filed under the name uncultured bacterium. RNAcentral's name for it is "partial 16S ribosomal RNA". It matches the Rfam family "Bacterial small subunit ribosomal RNA", at positions 524 to 776 of the family's 1533-position model. The record is from RNAcentral.